GAUGAAGAACGUAGUGAAAUGCGAUAAGUAGUGUGAAUUGCAGAAUUCAGUGAAUCAUCGAAUCUUUGAACGCACAUUGCGCCCCUUGGUAUCCCGAGGGGCAUGCCUGUUCGAGCGUCAUUUCACCACUCAAGCCUGGCUUGGUGUUGGGCGACGUCCCCUUUGGGGACGCGCCUCGAAACGCUCGGCGGCGUGGCACCGGCUUUAAGCGUAGCAGAAUCUUUCGCUUUGGAAGUCGGGGCCCCGUCUGCCGGAAGACCUACUCGCAAGGUUGACCUCGGAUCAGGCAGGGAUACCCGCUGAAAUUAAGCAUAUCAAUAAGCGGAGGA
Molecule: unclassified non-coding RNA, 329 nt
Filed under: soil metagenome
Description: partial contains 5.8S ribosomal RNA, internal transcribed spacer 2, and large subunit ribosomal RNA
Rfam family: 5.8S ribosomal RNA (bases 1-120)
Source: RNAcentral